UGGAAAUCAUUCCCUUUCCUCCCAUACCCAUUACUGAUACGUAAACAUGCCCUAAAUGAGAUGUCAAAUUAACCUGGUCGUACGACCAUUUUGACAUCUCAGGUCCUAGCUAUUGGCUCACCUUGACAAUUACUAGUUUCUGUCUUUAUUACUCUUUAGAGAGAGAGAGAAGCCAACAAGGAAGUGCAGUGCAGUGUACUCUUCUGUUUAUAAAAUACAGAAGAGUUUUGCCCUUAUUUUAUUUUUUGCAUCGAUAACUUGUUUCUCUCUUGGAAACAUCUCAAAAACAUCAAUAAAAUGUCUGAUUCUUUGCUGG
This 316-nucleotide long non-coding RNA is filed under the name Prunus dulcis (almond). Its description in RNAcentral is "sRNA ncRNA". Lineage: Eukaryota; Viridiplantae; Streptophyta; Magnoliopsida; Rosales; Rosaceae. The record is from RNAcentral.